This 1154-nucleotide long non-coding RNA is filed under the name Mytilus galloprovincialis (Mediterranean mussel). The record is from RNAcentral. Lineage: Eukaryota; Metazoa; Mollusca; Bivalvia; Mytilida; Mytilidae.
CGUCAAUAAUAAUAAAGGUUUACAUUUUAACAAUUUUGUAAAACUGCUAUAUUUUGGGGCCAAAAAGGGGUCUUACUGAACGUACUCCUUUCCACUCUCAGAAAACAAAGCUUAUUUUAGGGAAAUUGAUCAAAUAGAGAAAUAAGGAUGUAUUAUGGUCUGAAAUAAGAUUGACUUGUGACAUCUACUAGGAGGAUGAUAUUCAUAGAGUAGAUUUUUAUAAACUGUAAUAUAUGCAUGUAAGUGUUAUUUCAGCUCACCAUAGUUAAUGCUUUCCUUAGCAAACCAUUUAUAUAUACCCUUAGAAAGCUGUACAGUUACAUAUGCAAUGGAUUUUAAAAUCAAUUGUCAAAAAAGAAAGAAUGGUAUGAUUGUGUAAGUUGAAUUCAUCUCUUGGUGGGUUGUUGUUUCUGACAUAUUCCCGAUUUCCAUUCUCAAUUUUACACAUUUUGGCUUUAAAAUCUUUAAAAUCCAAAUUUUUCCGAGUCUUUUUUUUUUUUUGGCUGUAAUGAUAAAUUUAUAAAUGAGAUUAAAUUCAAGACAAAAACCUGUUUUCUGUGUAUAUUUCAACAUGAUUUUGUUUGCCAAUAAUUUAUUUGACUGAAGUAUAUUUUUUUUGUUGCUGUAUCUUGUUAUAUUUGUGGUUCAGGAGUGAUAGUGUGAAUGCUGACAUGUAAAUGAUGUGUAAAUGGCAAUAAAUUAUAAAUAACAUAUAGAGGCUUUGUUGUAUAUACAUAUAUAGGUGCACGUUGAUGAUGGAGGAAGACUGUUUACCAUACAGCUGCAAAUUUAAUGCAUGUUUAGGACGAGAACCUGUUAAUGUGAUAUGACUAUAAAUUAACCCUGCUUUGUACUAGACUUGACACCCCCAGCCAAAUUUUAACAUGUUAGAUUGCAAGUUACAUUAAUUUUUAGAAAGAACAUUUUUCAACCUGCAUGGAAUCAUUUUCAAACUCUGAGCCUACCAGUCUAUGCACUUACUCGGGACUCCUCAACAAACCCAAGACCUCCCACACGUGAAUCUAACACACAACCACCUUUUUGCAUGUUGAAAGCUUUUAGAUUUGAUGGUUGGCAAUUCUGAAGCUUAAAAAUGUUAAGUCUUUCAAAUCAUAUACAUCAAUCUGAUAUUGAAAUAACUCUUCUUUCAAGAC